RNAcentral lists this transfer RNA (87 nucleotides) under Turicibacter sanguinis PC909. Its description in RNAcentral is "tRNA-Tyr". It matches the Rfam family "tRNA". From Rfam's summary of the family: Transfer RNA (tRNA) molecules are approximately 80 nucleotides in length. Their secondary structure includes four short double-helical elements and three loops (D, anti-codon, and T loops). Lineage: Bacteria; Bacillati; Bacillota; Erysipelotrichia; Erysipelotrichales; Turicibacteraceae. The record is from RNAcentral.
UGGUGGGGUAGCGAAGUGGCUAAACGCGGCGGACUGUAAAUCCGCUCUCUCCGAGUUCGGCGGUUCGAAUCCGUCCCCCACCACCAC